This 696-nucleotide ribosomal RNA is filed under the name Triticum aestivum (bread wheat). RNAcentral's name for it is "partial small subunit ribosomal RNA". The record is from RNAcentral. Lineage: Eukaryota; Viridiplantae; Streptophyta; Magnoliopsida; Poales; Poaceae.
AUGGAGCGCUCAGAGCGAGAGAAGCAAGAGGCGCAGGCGGCGGAGGUGCGGCAAGAGCUCGAUGCUCUUGUGAAAAAACAUGAGAGGUUAGAGCUUGACUCGAAGACUCGAGAGUUCGAGCUUGCCUCGGCACUUGAAAGCGCCAAAUCUGCCAAGGCCGAAGCCCAAAAAGCCCUCCAGGAGAUUGAGGCGAUGAAAAAGAUUGCGACAGGAGCAUUCGCAGAUCUGCCCCACAGUGUAUCCGAUGCCGCCGCAUUCUACCGGGGCGAGGAAGGAAGCUCGACGGAGAAAGUGUUCUGGUCCCAGUAUGCUGAGGCCGGACACUCGGUGCCCUUGAGCGACCAGCUGAAGCAGCUGGUCGAGCUCCAUAAGGCAGCCGAACAGGCCAGGAAGGGCCUGAUAGGCCAGCUGUGGCCUGGUGAGGUCUUGCCUUUGAGCUACUUUGAGCUGGUGCGGCGGCUGGUGGAUGCCUGUCCACGGCUUGAAGUUAUCAAGCAUUCCGUGUGUGUCGAGGGCGCCCGUAGGGCUUUUGCCCGUGCUAAAGUGCACUGGGGCAAGCUGGAUGCUCAGAAGCUGGUGAAGGAUGGGCCACCGGAGGGGAAGGAGCAUCGCAGGCCCGAGAUGUAUUAUGAGGGCGUCCUGAAGGGUGCCCGUCUUGUAGCGAAUGAAUGUACCGGGGAUGUAAUAUUUGAGUAA